Pistacia vera is the source of this 498-nucleotide long non-coding RNA. RefSeq lists it as uncharacterized. The record is from RefSeq and is a predicted model, not a curated record. The transcript has 3 exons. Lineage: Eukaryota; Viridiplantae; Streptophyta; Magnoliopsida; Sapindales; Anacardiaceae.
UUCCCUAAAUUUCAUUCACUAACACCUAAUACCCGCCAACCCAAAAUCUCCCAAAAUUUCCCAAAAUCUCACCCUUCUUCGUAUUUUCUUCACUCUAUUUAGCAAUAUAAUGUUCUUCACCAAAAUUUCAGCUGCAAACUUCCUUUUCCAUUGUUACUUAUCUCAAUUCAGUCUUAUUGUACAUUAGAUUUUCGCAAUUUCUCUCAAAUUUCAACUUCAAAGCGCGAACUCUAUUUAGAGUUUGAAUCUUCACUCCAUUUUAGGCGACUCCGUUCUUGCUAUUUCAGCUCAAAUUUGGAAAUUCUAGGAAUCAGCUCAGAUUCAGGUACUUUAUUGUAGAAGAUGGUUUCAGUUUUAUGCCGCCACUCUAAGGCUAAGGGGAAAUCUGCAACUAGUCCUUCUCAUGCAUCAAAUAGGGACUUGUUUGACAUGCGUAUACCUAGACAUCCAGCAGCUUCAGCAAUUCGGUUUUUUGCUUCUUUUGACAUGCAACUACUA